RNAcentral lists this ribosomal RNA (253 nucleotides) under uncultured bacterium. RNAcentral describes it as "partial 16S ribosomal RNA". It matches the Rfam family "Bacterial small subunit ribosomal RNA", at positions 524 to 776 of the family's 1533-position model. The record is from RNAcentral.
UACGUAGGGUGCGAGCGUUAAUCGGAAUUACUGGGCGUAAAGCGUGCGCAGGCGGUUCGUUGUGUCGGCGGUGAAAGCCCCGGGCUUAACCUGGGAAUGGCCGUUGAAACUGGCGAACUGGAGUGUGGCAGAGGGGGGUGGAAUUCCGCGUGUAGCAGUGAAAUGCGUAGAGAUGCGGAGGAACACCGAUGGCGAAGGCAGCCCCCUGGGCUAACACUGACGCUCAGGAGCGAAAGCGUGGGGAGCGAUCCGG